CGUCAGUCUGUCGCUGCUCCUCUUCAUCAGAGACUCAGUUGAGUUCUGCAUCCUUCAGAGGAGCAUCUGAAGGCCGGUUACAUCACAACGCCACAUGAAGGCUGUCCCAGUCUGAAGGCUCCUCCAGAUGCUCCUUCUCUCUCUUUCACCGCUACGAUCCUUCGUGGCCUCACAUAUCCCAAGAUUCUUUGCUCCCCCGAAAAAGAAGAAAGAAAGAGAGAAAAUGGCGACAUCACAUGGCGUAGAUCGUCACUUUCGCGGGCCUGGGCUGCAGAACGUGACAUAAGAGUAAAACAUCUGGUGACGCAACCAGGAAAUGCUCCAAAGGCUAGACCGUCACAUUUAACAACGGCUGACGAGGUUAACAAGGUCUCUCUGAAGGACUCGCCUUCACAGACCACAAAGACCGAGUCCUUCAGAGACCAGGUCCUUCAGAGGAGGCCGGGUCCUUCAGGGGAGGCCGGGUCCUUCGGAGGAGGCAGGGUCCUUCAGAGGCCGGGUCCUUCAGAGGAGGCCGGGUCCUUCAGAGGCCGGGUCCUUCAGAGGCCGGGUCCUUCAGAGGAGGCCGGGUCCUUCAGAGGAGGCCGGGUCCUUCAGAGGAGGCCGGGUCCUUCAGAGGCCGGGUCCUUCAGAGGCCGGGUCCUUCAGAGGAGGCCGGGUCCUUCAGAGGAGGCCGGGUCCUUCAGAGGCCGGGUCCUUCAGAGGAGGCCGGGUCCUUCAGAGGAGGCUGGGUCCUUCAGAGGCCGGGUCCUUCAGAGGAGGCCGGGUCCUUCAGAGGAGGCUGGGUCCUUCAGAGGAGGCUGGGUCCUUCAGAGGCCGGGUCCUUCAGAGGAGGCUGGGUCCUUCAGAGGUGGCCGGGUCCUUCAGGGGAGGCUAGGUCCUUCAGAGGCCGGGUCCUUCAGAGGAGGCCGGGUCCUUCAGGGGAGGCCGGGUCCUUCAGGGGAGGCUAGGUCCUUCAGAGGCGGGGUCCUUCAGGGGAGGCCGGGUCCUUCAGAGGAGGCCGGAUCCUUCAGGGG
RNAcentral lists this long non-coding RNA (1016 nucleotides) under Sparus aurata (gilthead seabream). RNAcentral describes it as "lncRNA (ENSSAUG00010007770.1)". Lineage: Eukaryota; Metazoa; Chordata; Actinopteri; Spariformes; Sparidae. The record is from RNAcentral.